RNAcentral lists this ribosomal RNA (459 nucleotides) under uncultured bacterium. RNAcentral describes it as "partial 16S ribosomal RNA". It matches the Rfam family "Bacterial small subunit ribosomal RNA", at positions 338 to 795 of the family's 1533-position model. The record is from RNAcentral.
CCUACGGGUGGCUGCAGUGAGGAAUAUUGGUCAAUGGCCGAGAGUCUGAACCAGCCAAGUCGCGUGAGGGAAGACGGCCCUACGGGUUGUAAACCUUUUUUGUCGGGGAGCAAAGAGAGUCACGUGUGACUCCUUGAGCGUACCCGAAGAAAAAGCAUCGGCUAACUCCGUGCCAGCAGCCGCGGUAAUACGGAGGAUGCGAGCGUUAUCCGGAUUUAUUGGGUUUAAAGGGUGCGUAGGCGGUGUGUUAAGUCAGCGGUAAAAUUGCGGGGCUCAACCCCGCCGGGCCGUUGGAACUGGCAGACUUGAGUGCGCGAGAAGUGAGCGGAAUGCGCGGUGUAGCGGUGAAAUGCGUAGAUAUCGCGCAGAACUCCGGUUGUGAAGGCAGCGUACCGGCGCGAAACUGACGCUGAGGCACGAAAGCGUGGGGAUCGAACAGGAUUAGAUACCCUAGUAGUC